CCUACGGGAGGCAGCAGUGAGGAAUAUUGGUCAAUGGACGAGAGUCUGAACCAGCCAAGUAGCGUGAAGGAUGACUGCCCUAUGGGUUGUAAACUUCUUUUAUAUGGGAAUAAAAUGUUCCACGUGUGGGAUUUUGUAUGUACCAUAUGAAUAAGGAUCGGCUAACUCCGUGCCAGCAGCCGCGGUAAUACGGAGGAUCCGCGCGUUAUCCGGAUUUAUUGGGUUUAAGGGGAGCGUAGGUGGAUUGUUAAGUCAGUUGUGAAAGUUUGCGGCUCAACCGUAAAAUUGCAGUUGAAACUGGCAGUCUUGAGUACAGUAGAGGUGGGCGGAAUUCGUGGUGUAGCGGUGAAAUGCGUAGAUAUCACGAAGAACUCCGAUUGCGAAGGCAGUUCACUGGACUGCAACUGACACUGAGGCUCGAAAGUGUGGGUAUCAAACAGGAUUAGAUACCCUGGUAGUC
Molecule: ribosomal RNA, 460 nt
Filed under: uncultured bacterium
Lineage: Bacteria
Description: partial 16S ribosomal RNA
Rfam family: Bacterial small subunit ribosomal RNA
Source: RNAcentral